Small nucleolar RNA from Mus pahari (shrew mouse), 129 nucleotides. RefSeq annotates it as small nucleolar RNA SNORA17. NCBI's taxonomy places the organism in Eukaryota, Metazoa, Chordata, Mammalia, Rodentia, Muridae. The record is from RefSeq and is a predicted model, not a curated record. The transcript has a single exon.
CCUGCCCCUAGAGGCCUUGCAGGUGUGGCUGCUGUGUCACACGUGUGUCAGUAGGUGGCAGAGAGGAGAGAGGCUGUAUCUAAGCUCAGUGAUCUGACCUGACAUCUGAAUGAUUAACACCCUAACAUU